Long non-coding RNA from Cheilinus undulatus (humphead wrasse), 696 nucleotides. RefSeq lists it as uncharacterized. The transcript has 5 exons. Lineage: Eukaryota; Metazoa; Chordata; Actinopteri; Labriformes; Labridae. The record is from RefSeq and is a predicted model, not a curated record.
CGUGGUUAUCGUCCAGACACUGUAUCUGGGACAGCGCCAUGCCGCGAGCUCAAAACACGAAAUACACAGAAACUUAAAAAAGUCGAAAAGUCUCGCGAGGCAGUUUCUCUCUUCUCCUAAACGCCUCCAGACUUUGGACUGAAGGUAAAUACCUGACCUGACAGAGAGAGAGAGUGAGAUAGGGAGUGAGUGACAUCCUUCGCGCCGCUGGCACCGCCCGACAGGUGUGACCCUGGUGAUUCUCACACGCCCACUGUUUCUGCAUUAUGGUUAAGAUCCACAAACUGUUCUGCAACAUUUCCAAACUCCAGCCCAGCCAGAGAUGAGUCUACCGUGUCAGUUUCCACAAAGUGUUUGGCUUACAACAUAAAGACUCUCCAUCAUAUCUCCACAUUGGAAUGGCAGGAAUACCCUGAAUUCCUUCACUCAACUACAGCGGGGGAAAUCUUCCUGCCCUCCACGACCUCCCAGAGUUUUUCCCAUCAGACACACGGCUCUCUGAACAAGCCGGGCUGACUCCCUGAUGACAGCAUGGCAUUCAGCUACACCUCCACCCUGCCCUUGUUUCUCUGCUGUUUCACCCCGUGUGUCCUCGUUUCUCCUUUCUCACCCUGAAUGUGCUCCCAAAUAUGAUGAAACUGAAGUGUAAAAAAACAGCAUGCUUUACGAUGAAAUAUUAAAUAAGUGCGAUUUCGA